AUUGAACGCUGGCGGCAGGCCUAACACAUGCAAGUCGAGCGGAUGAAGGGAGCUUGCUCCUGGAUUCAGCGGCGGACGGGUGAGUAAUGCCUAGGAAUCUGCCUGGUAGUGGGGGAUAACGUCCGGAAACGGGCGCUAAUACCGCAUACGUCCUGAGGUAGAAAGUGGGGGAUCUUCGGACCUCACGCUAUCAGAUGAGCCUAGGUCGGAUUAGCUAGCUGGUGGGGUAAAGGCCUACCAAGGCGACGUUCCGUAACUGGGCUGAGAGGAUGAUCAGUCACACUGGAACUGAGACACGGUCCAGACUCCUACGGGAGGCAGCAGUGGGGAAUAUUGGACAAUGGGCGAAAGCCUGAUCCAGCCAUGCCGCGUGUGUGAAGAAGGUCUUCGGAUUGUAAAGCACUUUAAGUUGGGAGGAAGGGCAGUAAGUUAAUACCUUGCUGUUUUGACGUUACCAACAGAAUAAGCACCGGCUAACUUCGUG
Molecule: ribosomal RNA, 484 nt
Filed under: uncultured bacterium
Lineage: Bacteria
Description: partial 16S ribosomal RNA
Rfam family: Bacterial small subunit ribosomal RNA
Source: RNAcentral